Molecule: ribosomal RNA, 775 nt
Filed under: uncultured Neocallimastigales
Lineage: Eukaryota; Fungi; Neocallimastigomycota; Neocallimastigomycetes; Neocallimastigales
Description: partial large subunit ribosomal RNA
Rfam family: Eukaryotic large subunit ribosomal RNA
Source: RNAcentral
AGAGAGAGACAUGCGCGCAUAUCAAUAAGCGGAGGAAAAGAAACUAACAAGGAUUCCCUUAGUAACGGCGAGUGAAGCGGGAAGAGCUCAAACUUGAAAUCUUCAAGGUUUUACCUUGACGAAUUGUAGUUUAAAGAAGUGUUUUCUGCUGAAGUUUUGGUAAAAGUUCUUUGGAAUAGGACAUCAUAGAGGGUGAGAAUCCCGUAUUUGACCAUUAUUUUCAGCUUUGUGAUACACUUUCAAAGAGUCGGAUUGUUUGGGAAUGCAGUCCAAAAUGGGUGGUAAAUUUCAUCUAAAGCUAAAUAUUGGCGAGAGACCGAUAGCGAACAAGUACCGUGAGGGAAAGAUGAAAAGAACUUUGAAAAGAGAGUUAAACAGUACGUGAAAUUGUCAAAAGGGAAGCGUUUGACACCAGUAGUUGUUUUCUCGAAAAUCAAUUAAAAAUGGCUCGAUUUUGUAUUGUUGAGACCUUAAAAGCUCACUGUACAUUUUUCGUGUCUUUUUUAAUGCACUUUUCGUUUAACAAGUCAACAUCAGUUUCUUUUGUUGUAAAAGGGUCAUUGGAAGGUGGCUUCCUUUUCGGAGAAAGUGUUUAUAGCCUUUGGCCUCUGCAAUCGGAGAGACUGAGGUCUGCAGCGUAGACUCUUCGGGGUUAGAUACAUUUGUGCUAAGUUAUAGCUUUUUAUAGACAACUUGUUGACUAUAAUUAGUCUUGUAGCUUACUCGCUUAUGCUAUUUUACCUACGCUUAGGAUGUUGAGUCGUAGAGCACGCAG